RNA transcript from Anopheles arabiensis, 3404 nucleotides. It is a transcript of the gene named TAR DNA-binding protein 43-like, with no coding region annotated. NCBI's taxonomy places the organism in Eukaryota, Metazoa, Arthropoda, Insecta, Diptera, Culicidae. The transcript is spliced from 2 exons. The record is from RefSeq and is a predicted model, not a curated record.
CAUGGCUGUUGUUUUCAUCUUCUCUGCUAAAAAAUUGGUAUUAAUAAACAACGGUAGGAAUUUCUCGCGUUAAAAGCCUAUAUAAUAGAAUACUUUAUAGAUUGAAUGAUCUGAACUGGUUGCGAGCGAGAGCGAAGAGUGAUCGAGAGUGUGGACGAGCGAAUGAGCGAGCGAACGGAAGUGCGUGAGCAAACGAGACGGAAGUGUGGGGGUAGAGGUAAUCCUGGUCUACCGCAAGCGGCUAGCAGACUGUAGAAGAAAAUUCGCCCGGCCCGCAUUACGUGCACGCGAUUCCCAUCGGAUAACGCACCAAUAGUAUGCCCCCCAUCGGAUAUAGUAGCAAACAGUGAGUUUUAGUGGCAUCGGUUGCACCCCCCGCCCGUACGUACGAACGCACGCACGCACGCAGGCACACGACGCAGGCACACACGCACACAGGCAGACGCGCCCGGGGUGAGUGACAAGCCGCGGUGGAGGAAUGGCGGUGGAUUUGGGAUAUAACGGGACGGUGCUGGUCGUGGAAGAGGAAGGCGACGAGGCGGUCGAAAUCCCGCUAGAGGAGGAUGGCACGCUGCUGCUAUCGACGCUGCAGGCCCAGUUCUACGGUGCCUGCGGGCUGAAGUACCGCAACCCGGACAACAAAGCGAUCCGGGGCGUGCGGCUGAACGACAACAAGCUGCACCCGUUCUCGCCCGACUCGGGCUGGGGCAACCAUGUGUACAUAUGCGUGUUCCCGAAGGAGAACAAGCGCAAGAGCGACGAUAAGCUGGAAAACUCGACGCCGAAGACGAAGCGCAUCGAGAGCCGGAACCGCACGACGACGGACCUGAUCGUGCUGGGGCUGCCGUGGAAGACGACCGAGGAGAGCUUGCGGGAGUACUUCGAAACGUUCGGCGAGCUGCUGGUGGUCCAGAUCAAGAAGGACUCGAAGACGGGCCAGUCCAAAGGGUACGGCUUUAUCCGGUUCGCCCGGUUCGAGAGCCAGAUGAAGGCACUGUCGAAGCGGCACCUGAUCGACAGCCGCUGGUGCGACGUGAAGGUGCCGAGCAGCAAGGACCAGACGCAGCACCAGAUGCCAAGCAAGAUAUUUUUAGGCCGCCUGACGGAGGACAUCAACUCGGACGACAUCCGGGACUACUUCAGCAAGUACGGCGAGGUGACGGACGUGUUCAUACCGAAGCCGUUCCGGGCGUUCGCGUUCGUCACGUUCAUCGAUCCGCACGUGGCGCAGAGCCUGUGCGGGGAGGACCACCUGAUCAAGGGUACGUCGGUGUACGUGUCGACGGCAUCGCCCCGGCCGGAGCACGGCCGGCACCACGGCAAGGGCCAGAUGGGGGGAAAUUUUUCCAACUACGAUGAGCGCGGGCGCGGCGGAGGGGGGAGCGGCGUUGGCGGCAGUAGCGGAGCGAACGACUACCAUCGGGGCGGGGGAGGAGGGGGAGGGGGAGGGGGAGGAGGAGGCGGUGGGCACGCGGUAGGCCCACACGUGCCGGCGCCCAACAGCAGCUACCAUCAUGGUAGCGGCGGUGGCAGCGAAGGAGCAGGCCCGGGAGGAUACAACAAUAUGCAGUCGGGAAACGGGGGUGGUUGUAGUCAGCAGCCGAUCUGGAACUACAAUGAAUACACCGCCCAGAAUCGGCAAAACAACAGCAAUAUCGAGUCGAUGCCGAACCUGCAAGCACUCGGGAUCAACUCGAGCGGCCCAAACGGGCAGCGCGGGGGAGGCGUCGGUGGGGGCCUGCACGGCGGGCACCACGCAGGGAUGGGGAACCAUCUGAGUGGAAGCGGCGGUGCCGGCGGAUCGGCACCGGGCGGUCCGGGGAGUAAUGGUGCGGGCGUGAUCGGUGCGCACGGCGGACCCGCGGCUGGUAACAUGAAUCUCUACCAGAUGCCAAUCAAUCCCGCUAUAAUCGCGGCCGCCCUGAGCCAGUGGAGCCUGAUCGGGAACCAGAUGCACAACACGGCCCAGGGUGCGGGCGGACCGGGCGGACCGGGCGGUCCGGGAGCACCCGGGCAGGCGAACGCAAACGUACCGGGCGGCCCUGCCGGUGGACCGCCGGGACCGGGUGGAGCGGCUGGUCCCGGGCCGGGCGCGUCCGAGCAGGAGUAUCUGUCCUGGAACGGCACGGGCAAUGGGGCACCGGGAGCCGGAGUACCGGCCGGGCGCGUCGAUCCAAACCGCCAGUGAACGGGGAACACAGUCGACACAGUCUUAGCAUAUUGCAAAAGCAAAGCACCACCACCCCUCCCAGCUACCAGCGAUCCAGCGACUGCAGACAACACCCCUCCCCGGUGUCUUCGAUCUCCCAAUGUAUCCAGCCGAAGUAGACAUAAGGUGAUGAUGAUGUGACGAGGAUGCUAGCGAAGUAGUGGGUUGAGCGAGAUUGAGAGAUAGAGAGAGAGAGAGAGUGGGAGAACGAGCGAGAAAGAGAGAGAGAGAGAGAGCGAAAGAACGAAAGCGCAUGCGAGAUCAGAUAUGACCGGGGGUAAGAGGGAUAGUAUGGAAGGAUAUGAUGGGUGUGAACAUGGAGGAUGUGAGUCGCUAGAUGAUGAUGAUGAUGAUGAAUGUGUGCUACGUGAGUUUAGCGUGAAUAGUAUGUAGAGAGUGCAUGAUGGAUGUGUGCCGUUUGGUGUGCCGCUCCUUCGAGCGCGUGUGUGUGUUUGUAAGCGUUUUUUCAAAGUAAACUUACUUUAUUUUCAUUAUCGUGUAACAAAGGAUGUUCGGUUCGUGGCUUUGCGAGUAAAUUCGGCUCGGCAUAUUUAAAUUGCGCGGCCCCGUUGUUCUUACCAUAGCAUACCAAACUACCGACCUGCCAGCGCAUCGCAAUGUGUUGCGUGCGAGGCAUUAACACAACAACUACAACAACCACAACAACAACAAAACAGAAAACAGAAACAAUAGUAGCAGCUCCCCACGAUGUGUGUGUGUGUACAGCUCGCCGGCGGCCAGAUGCUGCUAUGCGCAACAACCGCAUAACAUACGCGUGGCAGGUGUAUCGCCGUAACUGCUGCUGCUGCUCGUGUAUCUGUUCCUGCCGACAGACAGCCAACUAAUGAGGGGUAGAACUGCAGCAUAUGUAGCAUAAUCAACAUGAUCAUGCGUGUAUCUGUGCAAAAUGGGAAAAGGGUUGAGGAGGGGCAGGGAAAAGAUGUAAAACUCUAACACCUACCUAAGACUAGGGGCCGGUAAUUUCAGAUUGCUGUACACGAAAGCAUAAUUUAUCCCACGCGCAAUCCCGCGGGGUUGUAAAGCAUCUACUACUCGCCGGACUCAUCCUUCCAUCUUUUUUUGUUUUACUUUCUUGUGAACACGUGAAGCACAGCUGCAGUAAGCAUACGUGUCGUUAGGCUUUAAAAUGGUAUGUCUCGGGAGCGCGUGUGAAAGAUACACACUCACACAAACA